This is a long non-coding RNA of Gallus gallus (chicken), 1662 nucleotides long. The record is from Ensembl. NCBI's taxonomy places the organism in Eukaryota, Metazoa, Chordata, Aves, Galliformes, Phasianidae.
CAUUGUAUAAAAUAGCAAGACACCCACUCUCAUUAGACAGAGCUGUAAAACAAACAGGCAAGAACGUUGUUUCCUUUCAUCUUCAGAAAUGCAAGCUGGCAAGCUCUCCUGGGGUGUGAUUAACAGUUUCUCAGCUGGGGGUACUUACAAAUGAAAUUAUUUCUUUUGCUAUUAACCUUUGACGACAUCAGUAAUUCCCACAUCUAGGAGACAGCAAUGCCUGGUAAUGGACAUGGAGGAGGAACGCGCACUGACUCACGCUGCAAACAGCCACACCAAAACACAGACUUUUAGAUGGGUUUAGCUUCCAAGUCAGCUGCUAAGCAAACACCAAGUUUUCAAUAGCACUCAGAAGCUCAGGGCUCCCACAGUGAUGCUAUGAGGAGAUUUUCAGAAACAUUCAGGCACCAGCUCCUCUGAAAAAACCUACUUAUUGCUUUAGGUGCUGGAAGCAGCUGCAGUCUUCUAAUGAGCUGCCCCCUCACAGACUUUUCUCAGCCUCAGGGAACAGUGGCUCAGAGGCACUGCCUUGCUCUGCCAUUCCUCUGCCAUUAUUUUCACUUACCCCUUCCCUCACAAGCUCGCGCUGCCUGCGUUUUACUGCUGUCACAGCUCCUUCCUAUCUCAGCGUUAAGUACUCCUUUCCCUAACAACACAGAAGCCCGCUAGACAUUGAGAAACACGGUUGUACAAGCAUCAAGGACAGACGCCAAUUAAAGAGUUUUUGGAUAAUUAAAAGAUUGGAAAAUAACAGGCAUUUGGCACAGCAGCUUCAUUAAAUCACUGGGGUGAGGCUGACCCAGCCUGCUGAUCUGGCUCUCUAGCUUUACCCUGGUUGCUCUUCUGAAAACUGAGUGUGAUAUGGAUCUGCUACCAGUCAGUGGCGAGAUUGAAGUAGCACAAUUUUUUUUCUGAGGCUUUUGCAUCACAGUCUUUGUUUUCCUCUUCAAAGAAAGAACUGCACAAGGAGCACAACCUUUGCUGGCUGGAUUAUCCCUUGGUGGAGUUAAUCUCAUACACUGCAGUACCAGACCUGCAGUUUCAUAACAGCAUCGCUCCACAAACAGAUUGUGUUGGAACAUGCUGGUUUGCAGAAAUGCCCACUUGCCACCAGAAGGAGAUCCUCAGCUGGGCACUACCUCACAAAGUGCUUCAGAGAUUAAGGCAUGUGCCUUGAUUCCCUCAGAGGACCUCCUGGCCUCGGCAGGCUCUGGCAUUUGAACAGCCAUUUGCUACUGCUUUACUCUUGUUGCUGUAGUCUACAUAGAUUGCAUUCUACAUAGACCUACAAGAUCUCUGCGGCCUUCAGAAUUUCCUCCUUUUCUGAUUUUCAGCAUGCUGCAAGAUCCUCUCCCUAAGCCUCUUGCUAAGCAGAAUAGACAACUAAAUUUUGCAAUUGAGUCUCAUACUGCAGAUGAAACUGUCAAGUGACAUCCUAAAAGGAUUCAAAUUAAUGGAUAAUGCAUUUUAUUAAAUUAGCAGCCCAAAUCUGCAUACCAGCAAAAGCUCCUCGUUUCUGAUUACCUCUGGGAACAAAGAAGACUAGAGCACGCUUAUACAUAGUGGCAGUGGGCUUAGAAUACAUUACCUUCUUUCCUAGAUAAAUAUUAAUUAACCAUGUAGAAGAACCAUAUUCUUAGUAAGAAUAAAUCUGUACUUCCC